ACAGUCAUAGCCUUUCGUGCAGUCUUAUCGUUCCAGAGACCAGUGACCUGAAUGUGAAUGAAAUAUUUUGGAUCUACUAAGUUGCACAGUUCCAGUAUUACUUUACGUUCUGCUGAAGAAUCUUCUACUUCUCAGUCAAGCUUCUUCGGGAAAGCAACGAUAUCGUAUUUGGGUCCAGCGGCUCCGACGCCGUGAACGACAUUGAUGACUGUGCCGUCGCUGAGCAGCUUGGGAUUAGGGCACUGGGAGUUGAUCCCCAGUUCUUUGUGAAGGUCCACCUGAGGCGGCAUCAGGGACGAAAACAAACAUGUUGAAAGGUCCGGCUAUGGCUGAGGAUCUUUUCAGCUUGUGCAGGUUUUGACACAGAAGAACACCUACCUUGCUGAUGGUUUCGAGCGUACUGGGAUCAACCUUGUGCAAAAACGGCGCUUCCGUUAUGCAAUAAUAUUCGCCCCCAAAGACAACUACGCCAACUGGUGCAUUGUCGGAGAAUAACUUGUCGAAGGCCAACUUUUCCCCUAAUCUAAAGGAACAAAACACUACUUAAAGAGAUUUGUUGGAGCUAAAGCUUUAUAGAAAAUGUAGUCUAUGUAUUUUAAAGACGAACAAAAAUAUUCAUAUUUGGUUAUAGCUUAGCGGUGUAGUUUACAAAAUGAUGGUGAAAAUGAUGAUGGCAAAUCAACAGACAUUCUUGCAUUACAACUAUGAUAUUAAAUGAAAUUCUAGCUAACCAAUUAAACCUCCUGGUCACAUACUUGCCCAACUUGCUUUUGGAGAGAGACUUCCCCGUCGUCCCGAACUCCGACACGACAAUCUGCUCGUUCUCGAGGUUGGUCUUGUAGGCGUAACUCCGGAGGAACCUGCUACUGAAGGUGGCGCCGUUUUCCCCAAGGGUGAACUUCUGUAUGAGGGCUGACCCGUCGAAUAUGUGGUUGAAUUCGUUCUCCCCGUAGGUCAUCCUGCCGGGACCAUCCAGCAGGUAGGAUCCCCUCAGCCACGGGGGGAGAAUUCCUAAAACAAGAGACAUUCGUACAUCGACGUCCCUGUGAUAAACUUACAGGACACUGUGAAUAAAGUAGAAAACGAAUGCACUCUAUAUAAGCUGCUUUCAAGGAAAGACGAUUUCAAUAACAUUAAGCGAAAAGGAAUGCAUGUUGCAGCAAAUAUUAUGGGGAAAAUGAAAAGAAUGUAAUAAACAUCAAUAUCA
This is a long non-coding RNA of Penaeus monodon (black tiger shrimp), 1207 nucleotides long. RefSeq lists it as uncharacterized. The record is from RefSeq and is a predicted model, not a curated record. The transcript has 2 exons. NCBI's taxonomy places the organism in Eukaryota, Metazoa, Arthropoda, Malacostraca, Decapoda, Penaeidae.